RNAcentral lists this ribosomal RNA (410 nucleotides) under uncultured microorganism. RNAcentral describes it as "bacterial SSU rRNA". It matches the Rfam family "Archaeal small subunit ribosomal RNA", at positions 330 to 745 of the family's 1478-position model. The record is from RNAcentral.
GUGCAGCAGGCGCGAAAACUUUACAAUGUGCGAAAGCACGAUAAGGGAACUCUGAGUGCCUCCUAAGGAGGCUGUUCAGGUGUCUAAAAAGCACCUGGAGUAAGGGCUGGGUAAGACCGGUGCCAGCCGCCGCGGUAACACCGGCAGCCCAGGUGGUAGCCACUUUUAUUGGGUCUAAAGCGUCCGUAGCCGGUUGAGUAAGUUCCUUGGGAAAUUUGGCUGCUCAACAGUCAAGCUUCCAGGGAAUACUGCUCGACUUGGGACUGGGAGAGGUCAGAGGUACUCCAGGGGUAGGGGUGAAAUCCAUUAAUCCCUGGGGGACCACCGGUAGCGAAGGCGUCUGACCAGACCAGGUCCGACGGUGAGGGACGAAGGCUAGGGUCGCGAACCGGAUUAGAUACCCCUGUAGU